UACGGAAGGGGCUAGCGUUGUUCGGAAUUACUGGGCGUAAAGAGCGCGUAGGCGGCUUACCAAGUUGGGGGUGAAAUCCCGGAGCUCAACUCCGGAACUGCCUUCAAAACUGGUAGGCUCGAGUCCGGAAGAGGGGCGUGGAAUUCCCAGUGUAGAGGUGAAAUUCGUAGAUAUUGGGAAGAACACCGGUGGCGAAGGCGGCGCCCUGGUCCGGUACUGACGCUGAGGCGCGAAAGCUAGGGGAGAAAACGGG
This 253-nucleotide ribosomal RNA is filed under the name uncultured bacterium. RNAcentral describes it as "partial 16S ribosomal RNA". It matches the Rfam family "Bacterial small subunit ribosomal RNA", at positions 524 to 776 of the family's 1533-position model. The record is from RNAcentral.